RNAcentral lists this long non-coding RNA (1092 nucleotides) under Anas platyrhynchos platyrhynchos (common mallard). Its description in RNAcentral is "lncRNA (ENSAPLG00000028408.1)". Lineage: Eukaryota; Metazoa; Chordata; Aves; Anseriformes; Anatidae. The record is from RNAcentral.
GCAUCUAAGAACCAUACUACCAGCAGAUCAUGCUCUCCCUGAGCAACAGCAGCACCCCCUCCAUCCCCUCUCCAGCCAACUUCCUGGGUCUAUGCAAGGGACCACCUGCCUUCAGAAAAGGAUUCAGGCCUUGGUGCUAUGCUGAAGAUUACAUGUGGCCUUCUGUGACAUGUGGAAAGAAACUGGGGACCUUCUGUUUCCCAUCUAGUCUUCAGAUUCUGAAGCAAACAGAAUGUUAUCUGACUGACACAAAGCAGAGCUACGUUUUGACAGAAGUCACCUGCAUCUUGUUAAUAUAUUCAUGUACACACGUUCAGGCCAGUUCUGUCUCAAAUGAAUUAAAUUCCUGGAGUCCCACUGAUGACAUGAAGAAGGAAAAUGACCUGAAAUCACAUGUUGAACAGUUCCAAAUAGAGAAAACUGGAUGUAUCCAUCUGGGAGAAAGGAGAGCAAAACAAAGUCUGUUGGUAGAAGUCUCAAAUAUUAUGGUGUGUUAAUGAUCAUAAAAGCAUGGCUUUAAUACAAGAAUAGACAGAAGAUGAAGACAGAAUGAGACAUAUACCACAUAGAUGCUGGGAGUGCAGGCAAUCAAACUUGAUCUUUACAUCAUCUACGGUGGGCCUUCAAUGUCACUGGCUAAUGCCUCUGGGACUUCCCCUGUGGAAAUGAGGUGAAAUUAUGUGUCUCCAGAAGCAUCCCACAUCACCUACAAUAGGCCAUUUUUCAGAGUAAACUUUCAAAACACCAGCUGCUCUCCAUUCUUUGUAAGGAAACCCACCGAGACAGAGGUAAGUUAGGUGCCUAGAGCUAGAUCGAGUGAGUCUACUUAUAUCUUGAAUGAUGCAACCCUGCAAACAUGAACAAGGUGCCCUAAAGGAUGCCAUGUGCUGAGAAGACCAACAAGAUGUAGGAAAAAUUCAAGAUUUUUCUUUUGGCUACUUGUCAAAGGUCAGGCAGAUGAACCCACAGUGAAACAGAGUGCACCAAGGGAUUUGAAGUCCUUUUAUUGUGUUAUGGCUUCUUCCAUGCAUAAUAGCAGAAUCAUGGGCUCUAGAUAAAGUUUUUUUUUUUUUUUCCUUUAAAAUAUAUUUU